GGACGAACGCUGGCGGCGUGCUUAACACAUGCAAGUCGAACGGAGCUUUAAGACGGAAGUCUUCGGACGGAAGGCUUAAGGCUUAGUGGCGGACGGGUGAGUAACGCGUGAGUAACCUGCCUUGGACUGGGGAAUAACACACCGAAAGGUGUGCUAAUACCGCAUAAAGUCAUGAACCGGCAUCGGUUUAUGACCAAAGGAGCAAUCCGGUCUUAGAUGGGCUCGCGUCUGAUUAGCUAGUUGGUGGGGUAACGGCUCACCAAGGCGACGAUCAGUAGCCGGACUGAGAGGUUGAACGGCCACAUUGGGACUGAGACACGGCCCAGACUCCUACGGGAGGCAGCAGUGGGGAAUAUUGGGCAAUGGGCGCAAGCCUGACCCAGCAACGCCGCGUGAAGGAAGAAGGCCUUCGGGUUGUAAACUUCUUUGACGAGGGACGAUAAUGACGGUACCUCGAAAACAAGCCACGGCUAACUACGUG
Molecule: ribosomal RNA, 481 nt
Filed under: uncultured bacterium
Lineage: Bacteria
Description: bacterial SSU rRNA
Rfam family: Bacterial small subunit ribosomal RNA
Source: RNAcentral